GGAUGUGAAGGUAAUCUGGCUGUGACAUCUGUCACCCCAUUGAUCGCCAGGGUUGAUUCGGCUGAUCUGGUUGGCUAGGUGGGUGUCUCCUUCCUCCCUCACUGCUCCAUGUGAAUCCCUCCUGAAGCUGCAUGCUCCGUCAAAGAGGACGACUAUACCCAAUAAAGGAGGACCAUUCUUUGGUCAAGGGUUUACGAGUAGCUGCGCUCCCCUGCUAGAACCUCCAAACAAGCUCUCAAGAAAUUAGUGAAUGAAAAAAAAAAAAAAAAAGAAAUUAGUGAAUGGAGAAAAACAUGCCAUACUAA
Canis lupus familiaris (dog) is the source of this 305-nucleotide non-coding RNA. The record is from Rfam. Lineage: Eukaryota; Metazoa; Chordata; Mammalia; Carnivora; Canidae.